GGGGAACUUUGGACAAUGGGGGCAACCCUGAUCCAGCCAUCCCGCGUGUGCGAUGAAGGCCUUCGGGUUGUAAAGCACUUUUGGCAGGGAAGAAAAGGCUCUGGUUAAUACCUGGAGCUGCUGACGGUACCUGCAGAAUAAGCACCGGCUAACUACGUGCCAGCAGCCGCGGUAAUACGUAGGGUGCAAGCGUUAAUCGGAAUUACUGGGCGUAAAGCGUGCGCAGGCGGUUCGGCAAGAAGGAUGUGAAAUCCCGGGGCUUAACCUCGGAACUGCAUUCUUAACUGCCGGGCUAGAGUAUGUCAGAGGGGGGUAGAAUUCCACGUGUAGCAGUGAAAUGCGUAGAGAUGUGGAGGAAUACCGAUGGCGAAGGCAGCCCCCUGGGAUAAUACUGACGCUCAUGCACGAAAGCGUGGGGAGCAAAC
Molecule: ribosomal RNA, 425 nt
Filed under: uncultured bacterium
Lineage: Bacteria
Description: bacterial SSU rRNA
Rfam family: Bacterial small subunit ribosomal RNA
Source: RNAcentral